Molecule: ribosomal RNA, 120 nt
Filed under: Candidatus Bathyarchaeota archaeon
Lineage: Archaea; Thermoproteati; Candidatus Bathyarchaeota
Source: RNAcentral
GUUGCCGGCCAUAGGGCAUGGGACCCACCCGUACCCAUUCCGAACACGGAAGUUAAACCAUGCUCCGUCUUUGGCUGUAGUGCGGUCUUCGGCCGUGCGAACCCAAGGAAGCUGGCAAUC